CCUACGGGGGGCAGCAGUGAGGAAUAUUGGUCAAUGGACGAGAGUCUGAACCAGCCAAGCAGCGUGAAGGAUGACUGCCCUAUGGGUUGUAAACUUCUUUUAUAUGGGAAUAAAAUGUUCCACGUGUGGGAUUUUGUAUGUACCAUAUGAAUAAGGAUCGGCUAACUCCGUGCCAGCAGCCGCGGUAAUACGAAGGAUCCGAGCGUUAUCCGGAUUUAUUGGGUUUAAAGGGAGCGUAGGUGGAUUGUUAAGUCAGUUGUGAAAGUUUGCGGCUCAACCGGAAAAUUGCAGUUGAAACUGGCAGUCGUGAGUACAGUAGAGGUGGGCGGAAUUCGUGGUGUAGCGGUGAAAUGCUUAGAUAUCACGAAGAACUCCGAUUGCGAAGGCAGCUCACUGGACUGCAACUGACACUGAGGCUCGAAAGUGUGGGUAUCAAACAGGAUUAGAUACCCCUGUAGUC
This 460-nucleotide ribosomal RNA is filed under the name uncultured bacterium. Its description in RNAcentral is "partial 16S ribosomal RNA". It matches the Rfam family "Bacterial small subunit ribosomal RNA", at positions 338 to 795 of the family's 1533-position model. The record is from RNAcentral.